Molecule: ribosomal RNA, 239 nt
Filed under: uncultured bacterium
Lineage: Bacteria
Description: partial 16S ribosomal RNA
Rfam family: Bacterial small subunit ribosomal RNA
Source: RNAcentral
CGAGGAACAUGACCUUCGGCGGGGGAUAGCCGGCCCAACGGCCGGGUAAUACCGCGUACGACCACAUGGGGACAUCCCUGAGUGGUGAAAGCAGCAAUGCGCCGAUGGAGUGCCCUCGGCGGCCUAUCAGCUAGUCGGUGAGGUAACGGCUCACCAAGGCGACGACGGGUAGCUGGUCUGAGAGGAUGGCCAGCCACAUUGGGAUUGAGACACCGGCCCAGACCUCGUAACCGGGGAGG